CGGGUGAGUAAUGCCUAGGAAUCUGCCUGGUAGUGGGGGACAACGUUUCGAAAGGAACGCUAAUACCGCAUACGUCCUACGGGAGAAAGCAGGGGACCUUCGGGCCUUGCGCUAUCAGAUGAGCCUAGGUCGGAUUAGCUUGUUGGUGAGGUAAUGGCUCACCAAGGCGACGAUCCGUAACUGGUCUGAGAGGAUGAUCAGUCACACUGGAACUGAGACACGGUCCAGACUCCUACGGGAGGCAGCAGUGGGGAAUAUUGGACAAUGGGCGAAAGCCUGAUCCAGCCAUGCCGCGUGUGUGAAGAAGGUCUUCGGAUUGUAAAGCACUUUAAGUUGGGAGGAAGGGUUGUAGAUUAAUACUCUGCAAUUUUGACGUUACCGACAGAAUAAGCACCGGCUAACUCUGUGCCAGCAGCCGCGGUAAUACAGAGGGUGCAAGCGUUAAUCGGAAUUACUGGGCGUAAAGCGCGCGUAGGUGGUUUGUUAAGUUGGAUGUGAAAGCCCCGGGCUCAACCUGGGAACUGCAUCCAAAACUGGCAAGCUAGAGUACGGUAGAGGGUGGUGGAAUUUCCUGUGUAGCGGUGAAAUGCGUAGAUAUAGGAAGGAACACCAGUGGCGAAGGCGACCACC
Molecule: ribosomal RNA, 630 nt
Filed under: Pseudomonas sp.
Lineage: Bacteria; Pseudomonadati; Pseudomonadota; Gammaproteobacteria; Pseudomonadales; Pseudomonadaceae
Description: bacterial SSU rRNA
Rfam family: Bacterial small subunit ribosomal RNA
Source: RNAcentral